RNAcentral lists this unclassified non-coding RNA (200 nucleotides) under Trechispora sp. RNAcentral's name for it is "partial internal transcribed spacer 2". The record is from RNAcentral. Lineage: Eukaryota; Fungi; Basidiomycota; Agaricomycetes; Trechisporales; Hydnodontaceae.
UUAAGUUCAGCGGGUAGUCCUACCUGAUUUGAGGUCAGAUUUCAAAGUUGUUUUUUGACCGCCACUCGAGAAGGCAGGUCGUGGAAGGGCACAAACAGAGGGGAAUGUCUCAGACGAGAGCGAGGUUGUUACAACGCCCAACCGAGUUUGACCCACAGGCCCAACCGAAGCAUUUGAGGGGAGCGGACCUUUCGGCCGCA